Pogonomyrmex barbatus (red harvester ant) is the source of this 1320-nucleotide long non-coding RNA. Lineage: Eukaryota; Metazoa; Arthropoda; Insecta; Hymenoptera; Formicidae. The record is from RefSeq and is a predicted model, not a curated record.
CACUCAACCGUGGACCAGCACUCAUUCCGAACCGACGUUUCGAGAAUCCUCAAGAGAUUUCUCGAAAUCAAUCAGUCGAAUUAAUUUCGCUAAUUCAUUCCGAUUUUCGUAAAAUAAAAAGGUAUUAUUGGCAGCCGACCGAAAUCCGCUGAUCGGAUAACAUCAUGCGAGGUUACGUGUUUGUCAUCUCGACCAAGUUUUGCCAGAUAUAAGAACAACCGGGAUAAAUUCACAUCUGCAGUUUAGGACAAGCAAGAAGACCGCGCGUCUGCCAGCAACGCGCGCGACGGCAUGGAGUGCAUUCCUCGUGGCGGUGCAACCGUGGGGGUGACCGUUUCCUCAAGUAUGCGCCUGGACACGAGGCAACGAUGCUGACAGAAGUUCGUGAGGCAUCGAAGAAGGAAGCGCGGGUUACGAGAGAAAGGGACCCGGAGAACGUGAGAAAGGGAGGAAAGAAGGAGGAGGACGGGAGAGACGCGACGGUGGACACGUCUUAUGCAUAAUUCAUGCAGGUGCCUUCCACGUAUAUUUUCGUGUUUAAAUAUUUGAAUACCUCAUUCGCUGCAAUACCGAGGGAGAACGGGUUAGGAAAAUAUUCCGCCGCUUAUUCACCGGGGUUCUUGGGCGCGGGUGAGACGAAAUUGAGUAUACCGACCUUCGUGCCCCCUGCGCGCGUCGUUUCUCCCUCUGCUUUUUAUCAUUUCUCCCCCUCCUUAUCUCCCUUUGUGCCUUAUUUUGAUAUUGUUUGACGCGCUGAUUGUGAAACUAAAAACAAUGACGGAUUCUCUCCAAUUUUCCCUACACGAUGACGUGGCGGAUAUUAAAAUAGAAAGCGUUAACGAGAACGCGAUAUUCGCGAAAGACGAAAUGAAAAAGCUCACAGCUUGUCCUCGGCGCAUUGGUGAUUAUUUCUACUCUUGUACGCAAUUGUUCAUUGUUCAGCGAAUAAUAAGGUCGAUUACGGCCUAUGCGUCAUUCUCGCACUGCGAAAUUAUCGUAUGCGUGGUUUAUCUGCGGUUUUAUUCUCAAGGCUAUUUAGAACGAAUUUAAAAGAACGAAGUAAAAUUUCGCGUAACUUUUACAAAAAUUGUCCGGAAUCAUUAAACGUCUCGCAAAUUUAAUAUAUUUGAUUUUAUCCUCGUAAGUAUAUAAUUUACAUCGCAUGCCAGUUAUUAUAAAUAAUUAUAAUUUAUUUCACAAAUAUAUCUUGUGACAGAUGAUAUUUUGUGACACAGAUGCAAAUACAAUAGCGGAAACAACAUUGUAUUUCACAAAAGUUUCAAAUAAAACGAUUAAAGCCUUUUGCGCGUCAUAAGCGUA